ACACCAAGAAUUAAGUCAUAUUAUGGUAAAAAGAUAGUUCUAUUUAAUGUAAUGUAUAGGGGUAAAAUCCAAGUACGAUUAUUUAAUUUAAAGAUAGCUUAGGAGCUGAAUCUAUGAAAUCCUUGAGGGAAACUGGGAUUAGGUACCCCAUUAUUCUUGGGUGUAAAUAGAUGAAGGUCUACCAGAGUACUAUGAAUAAUGUAAAAUUUAAAACCCAAAGAACUUGGCGGUGUUUUAGACCACCUAGGGGAACCUGUCUCGUAAUUGACAAUCCACGUUGCACCUGACCUUUUUUUGUUUUCAGUUUGUAUACCGUUGUCGUCAGGUAACUUUUUAGAAGGGAGAAGUUGGCUAUAGAAAGGUGAUUUAGUACGUCAAAUCAAGGUGCAGCUAAUAAAAGGGGGAGGAUGGGUUACAGUUAUAUAGUUAUAAACGGAAGGAGGACUUAGAAGUAAAUUGAACUGUGGAAGCAGUUUGAAUGAGGCUCUGAAACGUGU
This 497-nucleotide ribosomal RNA is filed under the name Oxymeris strigata. RNAcentral describes it as "partial 12S ribosomal RNA". The record is from RNAcentral. Lineage: Eukaryota; Metazoa; Mollusca; Gastropoda; Neogastropoda; Terebridae.